GCCUUAGUAACUGCGAGUGAAGCGGCAAAAGCUCAAAUUUGAAAUCUGGCACCUUUGGUGUCCGAGUUGUAAUUUGGAGAGACAUCUUCGGUUUGAACGCUGUCCGAAGUUCCUUGGAACAGGACGUCACAGAGGGUGAGAAUCCCGUACGUGGAUGGCUGUUUCAUUCCAUGUGAAGUGUCUUCGACGAGUCGAGUUGUUUGGGAAUGCAGCUCAAAAUGGGUGGUAAAUGUCAUCUAAAGCUAAAUAUAGGCGAGAGACCGAUAGCGCACAAGUAGAGUGAUCGAAAGAUGAAAAGCACUUUGAAAAGAGAGUUAAAAAGUACGUGAAAUUGUUGAAAGGGAAGCGCUUGAGACCAGACUCAAUCCGUGGUGAUCAACAGUGCUUCUGCGCUGUGCACUUGCCACUCUUUGGGACAGCAUCGGUUCGAAUGGUGGGAUAAAGACUUGAGGAAUGUAGCUCCCUUCGGGGAGUGUUAGAGCCUCAGGUGUAAUGCCAUCAACUCUGACCGAGGACCGCGCUUUGGCUAGGAUGCUGUCAUAAUGGUCUUCAGCGACCCGUCUUGAAACACGGACCAAGGAGUCUAACAUCUAUGCGAGUGUUCGGGUGGAAAACCCUUGCGCGAAAUGAAAGUGAACGGAGGUGGGAACCUUUCAGGGGCACCAUCGACCGAUCCUGAUGUCUUCGGAUGGAUUUGAGUAUGAGCAUAGCUGUUGGGACCCGAAAGAUGGUGAACUAUGCCUGAAUAGGGUGAAGCCAGAGGAAACUCUGGUGGAGGCUCGCAGCGGUUCUGACGUGCAAAUCGAUCGUCAAAUUUGGGUAUAGGGGCGAAAGACUAAUCGAACCAUCUAGUAGCUGGUUCCUGCCGAAGUUU
Molecule: ribosomal RNA, 874 nt
Filed under: Pulvinula niveoalba
Lineage: Eukaryota; Fungi; Ascomycota; Pezizomycetes; Pezizales; Pulvinulaceae
Description: eukaryotic LSU rRNA
Rfam family: Eukaryotic large subunit ribosomal RNA
Source: RNAcentral